AGGUGAAUUUCUUUCUUCUCAAAUUCUUUGUUCACGGAUAUGCCACCAGCACCUAAAGUUCAUAAUAUGUUUUCAUUCUUUGCCUACACAGGUGAGGUGCGACUUUGAUAGGAACUCGGUUAUUAUUCUGCUUUGGUGAAGGCUGCUAUAUCAAAGGCUGUGAAUCCUGCUGAGCCCAUCAAUCCCGUCGAGCCAGUCCAAAAUAUUGACCGGGUGACGCCUUAUCAUGUGACUGUGAUUGGAUGAAAACUUGAAAUUUGAGUUCAAUAGAGUUAAGCAUGAAAUUCAAUGAUCUUUUA
Magnolia sinica is the source of this 299-nucleotide long non-coding RNA. RefSeq lists it as uncharacterized. The transcript is spliced from 2 exons. The record is from RefSeq and is a predicted model, not a curated record. NCBI's taxonomy places the organism in Eukaryota, Viridiplantae, Streptophyta, Magnoliopsida, Magnoliales, Magnoliaceae.